RNAcentral lists this ribosomal RNA (200 nucleotides) under uncultured archaeon. RNAcentral's name for it is "partial 16S ribosomal RNA". It matches the Rfam family "Archaeal small subunit ribosomal RNA", at positions 538 to 737 of the family's 1478-position model. The record is from RNAcentral.
UCCAUUGGGAAAUCCACGCGCUCAACGCGUGGGCGUCCAGCGGAAACUGUCUGGCUUGGGGCCGGAGGACUCGAGGGGUACGUCUGGGGUAGGAGUGAAAUCCCGUAAUCCUGGACGGACCACCGGUGGCGAAAGCGCCUCGAGAGGACGGACCCGACAGUGAGGGACGAAAGCCAGGGUCUCGAACCGGAUUAGAUACC